CCGAGACUUAACACCCCGCCUUGUGAACGCGAGCAAGAUUACUCUCUCCGAGCAGCUCUUUUCACAUGUGAUAAGCUUGGCAAGUUGCCCUGAGCUAACUACGCAUGAUUUGCUGACCUGUAAGCAGUGUGAAAUCCAAGCAUCUACACUCCGAGAUAAGGAUUGAAUUCUCACCCACUGUCUUCACCCAGCCCAACAGAGAAGAAGGCUCGUGACUG
Long non-coding RNA from Gorilla gorilla gorilla (western lowland gorilla), 218 nucleotides. RefSeq lists it as uncharacterized. The record is from RefSeq and is a predicted model, not a curated record. NCBI's taxonomy places the organism in Eukaryota, Metazoa, Chordata, Mammalia, Primates, Hominidae. The transcript has 3 exons.